Zonotrichia leucophrys gambelii is the source of this 2556-nucleotide long non-coding RNA. RefSeq lists it as uncharacterized. The record is from RefSeq and is a predicted model, not a curated record. Lineage: Eukaryota; Metazoa; Chordata; Aves; Passeriformes; Passerellidae. The transcript is spliced from 4 exons.
GGAGGGGCAAGCCUGCAGGGAGCCCGCGGCCCCUGCAAGGAGCUCUUCGCCCUGUGCGGCUCGGGGGCUGGGGCCGAGCUCCGCCUCCUUGUCGCCCCCCAGGAAUCGCCCCGCCCCACGGCUGCCGCUUCUCGCUCAGCGUUCGGCUCCCCUCACAGCGCGCUCGGCGCCCGCCCGGAGAGCCGCCUCACGAGUGCCAGGUGAGGCAGCGAGAGGAUCGGGGAUGCCAGGGAGCAAAAGCUUCAUGUGGGACUGAUCCUCCUCAGCAGAGGAUUCUUUGAUCCUUCAGUGAAGAUUCCAGGAUGCCAUGAUGGCUGCUUGUAGUUCUACUAGGAUUUUGCUUGACAACCAACAAGAUUAGAAGCCAUUUGGAAAAAAGCUGCAACGGCUAAGCAAGGCAGCACAUCUGCUGAUACCAGCACGCAGGCCAGAAUGACAUUUGCUGAAAGUUAGGAUGGAAGGAAAUUGAUGUUGAGUCUUUCCCAGUCGGCCGCAUGGAAGAAAAAAUUUGGCCAGAAGCUGACACCACUUCUCAACAAGAUUAGGAGCAACCUUUAAUCUAUUUUUUUUUAAUUCCUGGUUCCAAUUCAUAUAUACAAUGAAGGACAAUAGGGUUUUUUUUACCCACCAUGUAGUCUGUGGGACUUUCAGGAUAAAGGAUUUUGUGCAUAAUGGUUUUCAUCUUUUUGCUUCUUAAAGAGUAGAGCUUAUUUUAUGGCAUUCUUUCUCAUACUCAGUAGGCUUCUGCUUAUCCCAUUAACUGUUUCUAGUAAGCAAAUUAUCUGAGCAUUUUGUUAUGCCCCAAAUAUGCAUACAUCUGUAUCAUAUGUAUUAGCCAAAUGUUCCAAAAACCCCCAUGCAGCAGAACAGAUAAUUGUAAAAGUCUUCUCACCAGGAAAUAAUUCAGAAGAAAUCAAACCUGGCCCUGGUAAGUUUUGGGGUUUUUUAAUUAUCUUUAGUAGACAUACAAGAUGAAUUCAGAUUAAGACUUUGACCCAUCUUUGAUAUAAAGUCCAACAACAGCAGACAGCAAAGUAGGAAUGGUGGCAGAUUUAAUCAUGGAUUUUACCCACAUUCAGCAGGCCAGCAGGGCACUCAUUUCAGAGACUCAUAAGAUUAUUCUUUCCCCGUGAAAUCCUCUUGCUGCUUUCUGGUUCACUGACAGCAUCUGAAAAUGUAUUCUGAUCUGAUAUAGUGCCACUAACAAAGGAAUUCUCUCUGGCCUUAUCAAUAAUGGAAGUUGCAAAAGAUUUCACUUCUAAACUGGUAACUAAUCUUUAAACUCACCUCAAAAAACCACUUCCCCAUCUUGCUGAGCUGUGAGUCAGUGAAAGACCGCACCUGUUUUCCUGUUAUCUCCUACAAUGCCUGCUGCUCUUAGUCAAAGGGCAGAAACCAGUGAACACUAGGAGUGAUUUUCAUCUUAAGUUUUCAUGUUUAAAACCAGAAACCUUCAGAGUUACUGUUAAGCCUACACUUUUCUAGAUAUCUUAACAGUACAGAGCCGUCAUGUGUGGUAGGCUCCAAAGUGUUCCCUUCUGCUGAAAAAAAGGAAUUAUUAUAAUCUUUUCACAGGGUCCUUCAUCUAGCUGAACCCCCUCAUUUCCUUGUAUCCUUUCAGCUUUCCCUCGCUGAGGCUUAAAACUGAUGGCUGUGAUCACUAUGCAAAAGAUAAUGGAUGUUACCAGCAGUUUUCGGUAUGCCUUUGGAGGAGGUGCAGACAGAGCUGACAGGGUGCGUUACCCAUCUGUUCACUGUCAGUUUGUGACAAAGUCUGCCUGUGUUUACCAAACAGCAUUCACUGAGGGAGAGAUGAAAGGAGCCCUCCAAAUUUGCACUGAAGCAGAUGAGAGUACUGACAUGAGCUGUUUGUUCAGCUGGAGGGUCCCGAGCUGCACCAGGGAGGGUGUGAUAAGCCCCUGGCAACAGGUAACAGCCUGGCCUCCUUCAGAGUAAUGGCAGUGCUUAUGGCUCUAGGCCUCAAUUGGCCAUCAGCAAACUCUUUACUUAGGUGUAUGUCUGUGUCCAGAGUUCCAGAAAGGAGAGUUCUGGGUUUUCCUGAUGUAUCUCAGAGUGAAGUUCCAUCCAUGGAGAACGCAGUACUGAGAGGAGGAGAGAGUGCUUCUCCUGCUCUGCAGUCCCUGCUUUUCUCCUGCACCUUGUGGUGAUUUGCUGGACCCUGCUGUGAGCUGAUUCAGCUUGCUAACUGAGCAGAACGCAUGCCACCAAAAGAAUGAAGAGAUUGCUGCUGAGUUAGCAAGCUGAACCAGUUCAAGAGAAAUGGGAUGAGUGCCAAAUCUGGCCCAGGACACCCCAGAACUACAAGGCUGGAGCCCUUUCCUUCAGUUGCAGCAUCAAAUCUCUGAGUACGUGCACACCCAUCUCUCAGGCAAGCUCCCCCGUUUGACCUUACAUUUAAGUAUACAUGACUGCUGUGCCAAGCAGCAUCUAGAAUAAAAGAAAGAUAUUUUCAGGGAACUAAAAUUAAACAAAGGGGAAUCUGUUGGUUUCUGUAGAAGUUCUGUCGAGGGGAAGAUUAAAUAAGAGAGAAGGAUU